ACUCAAAUGAAUUGACGGGGACCCGCACAAGCGGUGGAGCAUGUGGUUUAAUUCGACGAUACGCGAAGAACCUUACCCACACUUGACAUCCUUGGAAAGUUUAAGAGAUUAGACCGUGCCCGGAAGGGAGCCAAGUGACAGGUGUUGCAUGGCCGUCGUCAGCUCGUGUCGUGAGAUGUUGGGUUAAGUCCCGCAACGAGCGCAACCCUUAUUGCAUGUUGUAUUUUUCAUGCGAUACUGCCGGUGACAAAUCGGAGGAAGGUGGGGACGAAGUCAGGUCAGCAUGGCCCUUACGUGUGGGGCUACACACGUGCUACAAUGGCUGGUACAACGGGUCGCUAAGUCGCAAGACGGAGCUAAUCCCACCAAAACCAGUCCCAGUUCGGAUUGUAGGCUGCAACUCGCCUACAUGAAGUCGGAAUCGCUAGUAACCGCAGGUCAGCAUACUGCGGUGAAUACGUUCUCGGGUCUUGUACACACCGCCCGU
Molecule: ribosomal RNA, 487 nt
Filed under: uncultured bacterium
Lineage: Bacteria
Description: partial 16S ribosomal RNA
Rfam family: Bacterial small subunit ribosomal RNA
Source: RNAcentral